GGGUCAGUAGGUUGGUCGUGCCACCGGUACGUACUGGUCUCACUGAUUCCUCCUUCCUGAAGAGCCGUAAUGCCAUUAAUUUGGUGUUGCGGGGAAACAGGACUGUUACUUCGAAAAAAUUAGAGUGUUUAAAGCAAGCUAACGCUUGAAUACAUUAGCAUGGAAUAAUGAAAUAGGACGAUCGAUCCUAUUUUGUUGGUUUCUAGGAUUGACGUA
This 216-nucleotide ribosomal RNA is filed under the name Glomeromycotina sp. RNAcentral's name for it is "partial small subunit ribosomal RNA". The stretch from base 40 to 216 matches the Rfam family "Eukaryotic small subunit ribosomal RNA", at positions 686 to 864 of the family's 1831-position model. The record is from RNAcentral. Lineage: Eukaryota; Fungi; Glomeromycota.